AAAGUCGUAACAAGGUAUCCGUAGGUGAACCUGCGGAUGGAUCAUUACUGUAAACUGAGGCGGCUUCUCUUUCGGGAGUAGCCCAACCCUCACCACACUUUGUGAACUGUUUACUGUCUCUGGCGAGAGGUCUUUUUUUUUGACAAGUCCAAAUGCCGGGGGGUUGUUACUUAAAUGUGACUUCUCUUUUUUGGCAAGCGGGCUUUGAUAAGAAAGGACUCAACCUCGCCGCUGGGUUUUCGAACCUGGCUUUGUUUAACUCUUAAGCUUAACCAAUCUGUCUGAACCAACGUUUAUACUUUAAAAUGUAUUAACAACUUUUGACAACGGAUCUCUUGGCUCUC
Molecule: unclassified non-coding RNA, 344 nt
Filed under: Chytridiomycota sp.
Lineage: Eukaryota; Fungi; Chytridiomycota
Description: partial contains small subunit ribosomal RNA, internal transcribed spacer 1, and 5.8S ribosomal RNA
Rfam family: Eukaryotic small subunit ribosomal RNA (bases 1-47)
Source: RNAcentral